Molecule: ribosomal RNA, 439 nt
Filed under: uncultured bacterium
Lineage: Bacteria
Description: partial 16S ribosomal RNA
Rfam family: Bacterial small subunit ribosomal RNA
Source: RNAcentral
CUACGGGAGGCAGCAGUGGGGAAUAUUGCACAAUGGGCGAAAGCCUGAUGCAGCAACGCCGCGUGGAGGAUGACACAUUUCGGUGCGUAAACUCCUUUUAUAUAAGAAGAUAAUGACGGUAUUAUAUGAAUAAGCACCGGCUAACUCCGUGCCAGCAGCCGCGGUAAUACGGGGGGUGCAAGCGUUACUCGGAAUCACUGGGCGUAAAGAGCAUGUAGGCUGGAUGACAAGUUGGAAGUGAAAUCCUAUGGCUUAACCAUAGAACUGCUUCCAAAACUGUCUUCCUAGAGUAUGGGAGAGGUAGAUGGAAUUUCUGGUGUAGGGGUAAAAUCCGUAGAGAUCAGAAGGAAUACCGAUUGCGAAGGCGAUCUACUGGAACAUUACUGACGCUCAGAUGCGAAAGCGUGGGGAGCAAACAGGAUUAGAUACCCUAGUAGUC